UACGGGGGGGGGCAAGCGUUGUUCGGAAUUACUGGGCGUAAAGGGCUCGUAGGCGGCCAAUUAAGUCAGACGUGAAAUCCCUCGGCUUAACCGGGGAACUGCGUCUGAUACUGGAUGGCUUGAAUCCGGGAGAGGGAUGCGGAAUUCCAGGUGUAGCGGUGAAAUGCGUAGAUAUCAGGAGGAACACCAGUGGCGAAGGCGGCUUUCUGGACGAUAACUGACGCUGAGACGCGAAAGCGUGGGGAGCAAACAGG
RNAcentral lists this ribosomal RNA (254 nucleotides) under uncultured bacterium. RNAcentral describes it as "partial 16S ribosomal RNA". It matches the Rfam family "Bacterial small subunit ribosomal RNA", at positions 524 to 776 of the family's 1533-position model. The record is from RNAcentral.